CAAAAGAUAGUAUAAUUAUUACACAGCGCUUACAACGUUGAAAUAAAGUUUUAACUUUUCUUUUGA
RNAcentral lists this transfer RNA (66 nucleotides) under Crassostrea tulipa. Its description in RNAcentral is "tRNA-Val". The record is from RNAcentral. Lineage: Eukaryota; Metazoa; Mollusca; Bivalvia; Ostreida; Ostreidae.